GGAUCAGAAUGCCACGGUGAAUACGUUCCCGGGCCUUGUACACACCGCCCGUCACACCAUGGGAGUGGGUUGCAAAAGAAGUAGGUAGCUUAACCUUCGGGAGGGCGCUUACCACUUUGUGAUUCAUAACUGGGGUGAAGUCGUAACAAGGUAACCGUAGGGGAACCUGCGGUUGGAUCACCUCCUUA
Molecule: ribosomal RNA, 188 nt
Filed under: Escherichia coli
Lineage: Bacteria; Pseudomonadati; Pseudomonadota; Gammaproteobacteria; Enterobacterales; Enterobacteriaceae
Description: partial 16S ribosomal RNA
Rfam family: Bacterial small subunit ribosomal RNA
Source: RNAcentral